This 377-nucleotide ribosomal RNA is filed under the name uncultured cyanobacterium. Its description in RNAcentral is "bacterial SSU rRNA". It matches the Rfam family "Bacterial small subunit ribosomal RNA", at positions 376 to 770 of the family's 1533-position model. The record is from RNAcentral. Lineage: Bacteria; Bacillati; Cyanobacteriota.
CGCAAGCCUGACGGAGCAAGACCGCGUGGGGGAUGACGGCCUAAUGGUUGUAAACCCCUUUUCUCUGGGAAGAUGAUGACGGUACCAGAGGAAUCAGCCUCGGCUAACUCCGUGCCAGCAGCCGCGGUAAUACGGAGGAGGCAAGCGUUAUCCGGAAUUAUUGGGCGUAAAGCGUCCGUAGGUGGUUAUUCAAGUCUGCUGUCAAAGCGUGGGGCUUAACUCCAUAGAGGCAGUGGAAACUGGAUGACUUGAGUGCGGUAGGGGUCGAGGGAAUUCCCAGUGUAGCGGUGAAAUGCGUAGAUAUUGGGAAGAACACCAGUGGCGAAAGCGCUCGACUGGGCCUGCACUGACACUGAGGGACGAAAGCUAGGGGAGCG